UGGUAACAAGGUUUCCGUAGGUGAACCUGCGGAAGGAUCAUUG
This 43-nucleotide ribosomal RNA is filed under the name Veronica saturejoides. RNAcentral describes it as "partial 18S ribosomal RNA". It matches the Rfam family "Eukaryotic small subunit ribosomal RNA", at positions 1789 to 1831 of the family's 1831-position model. RNAcentral also lists the same sequence under 2 other names. The record is from RNAcentral. Lineage: Eukaryota; Viridiplantae; Streptophyta; Magnoliopsida; Lamiales; Plantaginaceae.